ACGAAAAAAUGAAACUUUGAUAGCCUGUAGAGUUUCGGGCGCUGAGUCGAAUGGUCUUGGUCCGAAGUCUCUACGACGAAGCGUUCUUGAGAUAUUUCACUUUGAAAUUGCAAAAACGGGGGCCGCGCCCUGACGUCAUGCGGCCAUUUGGUUACAUCAUCACGGGCUGCCUACGUCAUUGUGGCAAAGUCGUUUCUCUUCGCCAGUCUACAAGCACUAAUUUUAGUUGGUAUUUCAAGGGAAGAUGGGCGAUUCCGAACAAUCCUCUGUCCCCAGCAAUGAAGGCAGCGAUGCUGAGGCCAGUGAGGACGACCAACAGCCCACCGCCGCGUAUGGUUGGGGCAGGGAGCCCAGAUACUCUGCUGAGGAGCUGCCAUCGCGUGUAACAAAUGUGGAGGAAGAAGAUGCGUCAGCAGCUGCGUCCGACAGAAGACGAGUAGCUUGGCCACCAGAAUCUCGAUUCGUUUGGGACUCCGACUGGUGCGAGCGUGGACAAAAGUGUAUAGCCAUGCCCAGCCCGCGGGAAUGAUUUUGCUGGUAGGAUGCUGCCGUCGCUGUCGACAAGACGGCCCAAGGUUUCUUGCGUAGCGGACCUCGCAGAUUACGAGAUCGUAUCCUUGCAUUAGGCUGUGCUCAUCACUGCUCUUCGAGGUUAUCUCGACAUGCAGAAGCCGCCAAUGCCAGUGACAGAAGAGUCUGACAUUAGAUCUCUACGCUAUGCGGCACACAGGCAGUACACACUAUGUACACGGCAAAUUGGGCAAGCACGUUCGUUGUCGUCUUCCAGCCUGCGUUGUGAAUACCAUCAGGCAAAGAUAUCCAAAUCCUGCACCACCUCAGCCUUCUCAGGAGGCUUCCACCUGGAAUUUGGCAGGGAAACACGCUUCUCCAAGGCAGGAACAUGGAGGUUGCCAUUUGCAACCGCUACCACCUCACACAUGAGCUUGUCAACAUACUCAUAGCUCUUUCUGUCGUAUAAUUUUCUAUUUGGCCACAGUCUUCUUUAUGCUUUGAGAACUGGACUUUAUACCUUCC
Sycon ciliatum is the source of this 1035-nucleotide long non-coding RNA. RefSeq lists it as uncharacterized. The record is from RefSeq and is a predicted model, not a curated record. The transcript has 2 exons. NCBI's taxonomy places the organism in Eukaryota, Metazoa, Porifera, Calcarea, Leucosolenida, Sycettidae.